RNAcentral lists this ribosomal RNA (253 nucleotides) under uncultured bacterium. RNAcentral's name for it is "partial 16S ribosomal RNA". It matches the Rfam family "Bacterial small subunit ribosomal RNA", at positions 524 to 776 of the family's 1533-position model. The record is from RNAcentral.
UACAGAGGUCCCGAGCGUUGUUCGGAUUCACUGGGCGUAAAGGGUGCGUAGGUGGUUAGGUAAGUCUACUGUGAAAUCUCGGAGCUCAACUCCGAAACUGCAGCGGAUACUAUCUAGCUUGAGGAUUGGAGGGGGGACUGGAAUUCUCGGUGUAGCAGUGAAAUGCGUAGAUAUCGAGAGGAACACCAGUGGCGAAGGCGAGUCCCUAGACAAUUCCUGACGCUGAGGCACGAAAGCUAGGGGAGCAAACAGG